RNAcentral lists this transfer RNA (75 nucleotides) under Corynebacterium pseudotuberculosis. Its description in RNAcentral is "tRNA-Gly". Lineage: Bacteria; Bacillati; Actinomycetota; Actinomycetes; Mycobacteriales; Corynebacteriaceae. The record is from RNAcentral.
UUUUGUUCUUAUCGCGAAAGUCCGCUACUGUUAUGCGCACAGCGUUCGAUGCAAUCAAACGCCAAAGGGAAUGUC